Molecule: small RNA, 299 nt
Filed under: Verrucomicrobiia bacterium DG1235
Lineage: Bacteria; Pseudomonadati; Verrucomicrobiota; Verrucomicrobiia
Description: Verrucomicrobiae bacterium DG1235 5' ureB small RNA
Rfam family: 5' ureB small RNA
Source: Rfam by way of RNAcentral
CUUCGUCGAUUUGCUGGGGGCAGAUGAAAUGGAUGUGGGAGUCGAAGCCACCUGCGGUAACGAUGUGUCCUUCUCCGGCAAUGACUUCGGUGGAAGCUCCUACUGUCAUUGACGGGUGGAUACCGUCUUGGAUAAGGGGGUUGCCUGCGUGUCCGAUGCCGACGAUGCGUCCGUUCUUGAUGCCGAUGUCGGCUUUGAUGACGCCUUGGAUGGCGUCGAGGAUGGUGGCGUUGGUGAUGACGAGGUCGAGGGAGUCGGCCCCGGCGGCUUUAGGGGAUUGGCCCAUGCCGUCGCGGAUG